RNAcentral lists this ribosomal RNA (194 nucleotides) under Croceicoccus sp. RNAcentral's name for it is "partial 23S ribosomal RNA". It matches the Rfam family "Bacterial large subunit ribosomal RNA", at positions 2715 to 2925 of the family's 2925-position model. Lineage: Bacteria; Pseudomonadati; Pseudomonadota; Alphaproteobacteria; Sphingomonadales; Erythrobacteraceae. The record is from RNAcentral.
UACCUGUCAUCCUGCCAAGGGUGCCGCAGGGUAGCUAUGUAUGGACGGGAUAACCGCUGAAAGCAUCUAAGCGGGAAGCCUCCCUUGAGAUUAGGUAUCUUCGAACCGUCGUAGACCACGACGUUGAUAGGCCGGGUGUGGAAGUGCGGUAACGCAUGGAGCUAACCGGUCCUAAUAGUUCUGUUCGCGCUUGA